UACGUAGGUGGCGAGCGUUGUCCGGAUUUAUUGGGCGUAAAGGGCGUGUAGGCGGCUUCUUAAGUCCGAGGUGAAAACACGGGGCUCAACCCCGUGAGUGCCUCUGAUACUGGGGAGCUUGAGUGCUCUAGAGGGUAGUGGAAUUGCCGGUGUAGCAGUGAAAUGCGUAGAGAUCGGCAGGAACACCAGUGGCGAAGGCGACUGCCUGGGGAGUAACUGACGCUGAGGCGCGAAAGCAUGGGGAGCAAACAGG
RNAcentral lists this ribosomal RNA (253 nucleotides) under uncultured bacterium. RNAcentral's name for it is "partial 16S ribosomal RNA". It matches the Rfam family "Bacterial small subunit ribosomal RNA", at positions 524 to 776 of the family's 1533-position model. The record is from RNAcentral.